GGUCCUUGUUGAAGUAUAACGCGAUAAGAAGAGGGGAGUAUAAAUAAUUCUGGUUCGGUGACGUUCCGUCUAGUUUAACGCACGACUUGGACGACGCUUAAGAGCUGGCCGUGCGUUACGGCCGCAACCGAAUUUAGUCUGACAGAAGUAUUAACGUAUAAUUAAUUGGCAGGUCCACACUAUUUGUAUCCAGCUUUCCUUGUAACCGUACGUUAAUAUAAAUUGUCGGCAAUCCUGGUUCAUCGCAAAUCACGUCACAAUGAACAAAGUCUUGGUAAUUCUAGUCACGAUCGGAUGCACAAUGACCAGUUGCAGACCCCAGAGUCCUGAACAGGUGGCGUGGAAUGCACACAUGAAACAAGUAUCGAACUUUUGGUGUAAAGUUCCACAACUCUAUUCAAUACCUGUCACAGAUUUGUUACAAGGAAACAAAAGUACCGAGGAACGGAUCACCCCAUUUACAACAGUGUUAUCUCGAUGCAAAUCAACCUCAGGCUGUUGUAAGGAAACACAAAUUUGUGCGCCAAAGACAUACGAAAAUGUCACACUUGUAUUUAAAUUUGAGCACACGAUUGAAAAAGAUAUGCCGGACCGUCAUGAACGCAUUAUUG
This is a long non-coding RNA of Diprion similis, 611 nucleotides long. RefSeq lists it as uncharacterized. Lineage: Eukaryota; Metazoa; Arthropoda; Insecta; Hymenoptera; Diprionidae. The transcript has 2 exons. The record is from RefSeq and is a predicted model, not a curated record.